Long non-coding RNA from Suricata suricatta (meerkat), 524 nucleotides. RefSeq lists it as uncharacterized. The record is from RefSeq and is a predicted model, not a curated record. The transcript has 2 exons. Lineage: Eukaryota; Metazoa; Chordata; Mammalia; Carnivora; Herpestidae.
CUGGAGCAGGAAGUGCUGAGAAAAGAAAUUAUCAUAUAAAUGGUGAAGUCACUGCAGCCAUAGAACUAGAGUAACACACCAUUACCAAAGGCUGAGGCUGAUACUUGUGAUAAGUGUUCCUUAAACUAAGGUUUGCGGGCAACAUCAAAUUAUCACUAAGAAAUUUCCAGGCACGUCUAAAUUAUUACUAGGGGACCUAAUGUGGUCGAAGACCCUGUCUUCAGUAUUCCUUGCAAGGGGUAACAAUUCCAACUCUCUUACUUAGAAGCUAUGAGGUCUUGGACCAAUGAAGACAACACAAACUUUACAAGGAGCAAUGACGCCAGUAGCAGUUAAUUCACUGUUGGGGGGAUGUUAUGCAACACAAACAACACACAAAAUGAGAAGGAACUAUAUGUAGAAUCUUUAAAGACCAUCUACCAAUUCAAAUCUCUACUAUACUGCAAAGACUUCCCAGAUACAAAUACAAGGCACCAAGUUAGAUCUGAAUUUCUGAUGAACAAUAAAAAAUGUUUUAAUAUAAA